GAUGAACGCUGGCGGCGUGCCUAAUACAUGCAAGUCGAGCGAACAGACGAGGAGCUUGCUCCUCUGACGUUAGCGGCGGACGGGUGAGUAACACGUGGAUAACCUACCUAUAAGACUGGGAUAACUUCGGGAAACCGGAGCUAAUACCGGAUAAUAUAUUGAACCGCAUGGUUCAAUAGUGAAAGACGGUUUUGCUGUCACUUAUAGAUGGAUCCGCGCCGCAUUAGCUAGUUGGUAAGGUAACGGCUUACCAAGGCAACGAUGCGUAGCCGACCUGAGAGGGUGAUCGGCCACACUGGAACUGAGACACGGUCCAGACUCCUACGGGAGGCAGCAGUAGGGAAUCUUCCGCAAAGGGCGAAAGCCUGACGGAGCAACGCCGCGUGAGUGAUGAAGGUCUUCGGAUCGUAAAACUCUGUUAUUAGGGAAGAACAAAUGUGUAAGUAACUAUGCACGUCUUGACGGUACCUAGUCAGAAAGCCACGGCUAACUACGUG
RNAcentral lists this ribosomal RNA (497 nucleotides) under uncultured bacterium. Its description in RNAcentral is "partial 16S ribosomal RNA". It matches the Rfam family "Bacterial small subunit ribosomal RNA", at positions 28 to 507 of the family's 1533-position model. The record is from RNAcentral.